UACAAGAAGAGGGUAGUAGAUGCCAUCUA
This 29-nucleotide non-coding RNA is filed under the name Mus musculus (house mouse). The record is from RNAcentral. Lineage: Eukaryota; Metazoa; Chordata; Mammalia; Rodentia; Muridae.